Molecule: ribosomal RNA, 407 nt
Filed under: uncultured bacterium
Lineage: Bacteria
Description: partial 16S ribosomal RNA
Rfam family: Bacterial small subunit ribosomal RNA
Source: RNAcentral
AUUGAACGCUGGCGGCAGGCCUAACACAUGCAAGUCGAGCGGAGCGGCGGACGGGUGCGUAAUGCCUAGGAAUCUGCCUGGUAGUGGGGGAUAACGUCCGGAAACGGGCGCUAAUACCGCAUACUAUCAGAUGAGCCUAGGUCGGAUAAGCUAGUAGGUGGGGGAACGGCUCACUUAGGCGACGAUCCCUAGCUGGUCGGCGAGGAUGACCAGCCAGACUGGAACUGAGACACGGUCCAGACGCCUACGGGAGGAAGCAGGGGGGAAUAUUGCACAAUGGGCGCAAGCCUGAUGCAGCCAGUCCGCGUGUAUGAAGAAGGCCUUCGGGUUGUAAAGUACUUUCAGCGGGGAGGCGUUACCCGCAGAAGAAGCACCGGCUAACUCCGUGCCAGCAGCCGCGGUAAUUC